UUCCACAGCCAUGUCACCCUGCAGCCCGGGGAGCGGUUACUCCACUGAAGCUAAGCAGGGCUGAGCUGGGUCACUACUGAAAUGGGAGACCACAAUGGCAAAGCUCGGUAGCUGUUAGAA
Molecule: ribosomal RNA, 120 nt
Organism: Danio rerio (zebrafish)
Lineage: Eukaryota; Metazoa; Chordata; Actinopteri; Cypriniformes; Danionidae
Source: Ensembl